Molecule: long non-coding RNA, 1304 nt
Filed under: Sparus aurata (gilthead seabream)
Lineage: Eukaryota; Metazoa; Chordata; Actinopteri; Spariformes; Sparidae
Description: lncRNA (ENSSAUG00010027341.1)
Source: RNAcentral
CAGGUGCUCAGGGCAUCCAGGGUAUCCUUGGUAACGCAGGCAUCCAGGGCUCUCCAGGCCUGAGGGGCCCGCCAGGGGACCCAGGAGUGCCGGGCAGAGAGGUACAUCAUCACGUAUUAGAAGUUUCUUCUAACUGGAGCUCGUUUGAAUCAGGUGAAAUUAAGACAGUGAUACUCGCUUGUUUCAUGUAUCUCUGCAGGGUGAACGAGGUAAAAGGGGGAGGAAUGGAUCACCUGGAGCUCCUGGACCUCGAGGGCAAGCAGGACCUCAAGGUCCUCCUGGUCUAUCUGGAGUGAAAGGAGAAAAGGGCGACAGUAUUCCUGGAGAGCCCGGUGCUCGGGGGUUGGCCGGCUUCCCAGGCAGAAGGGGUGAAACAGGCGUUCCAGGUGUUAAAGGAGUUCCUGGACAUCUAGGUCCAAAAGGCUUGCGUGGCAGCAAAGGUGAAAAGGUGAGCCGUUGUUUUUCAAUUUAUGACUCUUUUCAUAUGAAUCAUUCACUUAACCAAAAGUAAAUCAUUUUCAUUCAACUUUAAAAUUUUCAAAAAAUUUACUUUAUUUACGUGAAAGUGUAAAUAUUGCAAGGAAAACAUUUUAUUUGUAUAUGCCACGUACGGGUCAAAGGUGCGAAUGCUCAGUGGGUGGUCACUUCCACUUCCCCUGCCACGGGCUGCCAGAAAACUUACAGCUCAUGUCUGGUCCUUGUUGUCAGAAAGGUUGGGGACCCCUGCUGUGAGCCACCUGGUCCACCUCCUCCAAAGGUGCCCCAAAGGUUAAAUUAGGAUGAGGACUGAAUCUCUGCCACGUUGUCCUGCUGAAAUUCUAAAUUAAAAAAGGGGACGCUGUAGUAAAGCUGCAACGAUUAGUCGAUUGAAUGAAAGUAAAUUGCCAGUAACUUGAUUAAAUUUCAGUCAUUUUCAGUUUCAGUUGUUUUUUUUAAACAAAAAUAUCAAACAUGUGCUGGUUUCAGCUUAAAUGUCAUGUCUGAAAUGUCAUUUAUGACAGUUAAUGAAAGGCUUUUGGCUUUUGCACUGUUGGUUGGAGAUAAUAAGUUGUUUGUAGACGUCAUGUUGGGGUCUGGGAAGCUGUGAUGAGCAUUAUUCACAAUUUUGGAUACUUUAUAGAUUAAGGAUGCGUCUUGUUGCAACAAUUUUUAAUUAAAUGAUGCUCUUUUUUAUCAAAGGACCUAACUGAUGAUAACAUCACAGGUGUGAACCUGUGCUGUUGCCAGCUGGGAGGACAGAUGAUAGAUUUUUGGACCUGAGUAUCAGCAUGUUGUACUUGAACCUAUCUCAUGAAGCAGGACAC